ACCACAAGAACAGAGCUCAAGUUUAUCUCUCUCCCCGGGUGGAAUUACAGUCUCCAUCAGUUAAUGCAGCAUUUCUCAACUUCGGAUAGUUGAAUCCUGGCUUUUUGAGAAAACGAAACUUACAGUAAUGCUGCUACCAGCAGUGUUGUUUUAAAAGCCUACCAAAAAGAGCAGUCACUCAAAUAGAUUGCGUAGGUAUUCAUCCUCAUCUCUCCUGCAUGCUCUGAUUACAGUGCAUUGUCAAUAUUGUUGAAAUGAUGUCACUGGCAUCUGAAUCAUGACCCCCUUUAUAACCAAAAUUACUGCAAACUGAGGCAGACAUUGCUGCAUUAUGGAUGGGCUGUGGUUUCAGUAUUUCUCUUUGCGAACAGAUGCCUUAAAAACACAAGCAAUCAGAAUAACAAAAUAUGUGGAUGCUCUGAAGGACCUGUGGUAAUCUGUGGUUUAGGAUUAAUUCCACAGUAGAUUACAGUUUUUAUUGUAUGUAAUUUAUUGCUUCAUUUUUCUUAAAGGUUUACUGAGCAAGUAGUUUGUACUUGAUUUACCUGUCAAGGUGGGUGCUCUUCAAGCUCACAACAUCCUCUGUAGGCUCUCUGAGCUGUUAUUAAAUUUUCUUUCAGACCACGGGCCACGGAUUUGAUCUCAAUCAAGGUGUUAUUAAGAGGAAGUAAUUUCCCCAUUCUGAUUCGCACUAGUAAGACUACAGUAGAUAAACAUUUAAGCUGCAGCAGGGCAAUUUUCUCACGUAAACAAGGAAUUGGAAGCAGUGGGUACGUGCCUGUUUCCAUGGGACUUUGGCUGAGGCAUACACACCAUGCCAGAGGAAAUG
This is a long non-coding RNA of Numida meleagris (helmeted guineafowl), 829 nucleotides long. RefSeq lists it as uncharacterized. Lineage: Eukaryota; Metazoa; Chordata; Aves; Galliformes; Numididae. The record is from RefSeq and is a predicted model, not a curated record. The transcript is spliced from 2 exons.